Molecule: ribosomal RNA, 371 nt
Filed under: uncultured bacterium
Lineage: Bacteria
Description: bacterial SSU rRNA
Rfam family: Bacterial small subunit ribosomal RNA
Source: RNAcentral
ACGGAGGGGGCUAGCGUUGCUCGGAAUUACUGGGCGUAAAGCGCACGUAGGCGGCGAUGCAAGUUAGGUGUGAAAGGCCUGGGCUUAACCCAGGGACUGCACUUGAUACUGCAUUGCUAGAGUCCAAGAGAGGGUAGUGGAAUUCCCAGUGUAGAGGUGAAAUUCGUAGAUAUUGGGAAGAACACCAGUGGCGAAGGCGGCUACCUGGCUUGGUACUGACGCUCAGGUGCGAAAGCGUGGGGAGCAAACAGGAUUAGAUACCCUGGUAGUCCACGCUGUAAACGAUGGGUGCUAGAUGUCGGGCAGCAUGCUGUUCGGUGUCGUAGCUAACGCGUUAAGCACCCCGCCUGGGGAGUACGGCCGCAAGGUUA